Long non-coding RNA from Rhinolophus ferrumequinum (greater horseshoe bat), 1229 nucleotides. RefSeq lists it as uncharacterized. The record is from RefSeq and is a predicted model, not a curated record. NCBI's taxonomy places the organism in Eukaryota, Metazoa, Chordata, Mammalia, Chiroptera, Rhinolophidae. The transcript has 3 exons.
AGUGCGUAAGUGCGGGUCACUACGCUACAGUUCACGGACGGCUGAGAACCCGUCCUUCUCGUCGGUGCUGUCCGUCGAUUCGCCGGUGCGUCCCAAAGAGAAACCAGCCGUUAAUUGCCCUGUGCCAGAGGUGCAAAGAAGACUUCGGCCCUCUGGGGCCAAAGGCAGCCGAGUGGACAGGCGCAGCCCGGAGCUACGGGGGCUCCCCUGUGCCCAGCAACUUAAGCAGAGGCAACUCGAGAGGCCCAUCAGUAGAUAGCACGAGCCCGCUGGGCACAUCCCUCAUCCUCCUCCAGCCAAGAAGCUCCAGUUUCAGUGGUGAAUUCCACCUGCCUAAAACCUCGGUCACUGCCAAGAGCCAUCCUAGAGCCAUUUGAGAACAUCCCAAACCUAAGGACCCCACUGGGAUCUGAGAAGAGGAACUUGACACCACACCCCUCUAGCCUCGCAGAGUCCCGGUGACAAGCCUGUCUGGAAACCAGUGAGGCCCUUGGCUGAUCAAUAAUACCUCGCAGUGACAGAACGCUUUGCAAACAACCUGUGUCUGAUCACGUCCUCUCUAACCUCAGUGAGCCUCCUGGUUACUUUACCUUUCUCUUCAUCCGGAUCAGUAGUUCUCCCAGUCACCAGAUUCAGAGUUCCUGUCUCUGGGACCCCUGCCUCCACGUCCUCUUUCUUCCUGUCUGCUCCCAGAGUCCCAGAACACUGCUAGAAGGAGAACCCAGCAGACCAGUAUGAAUUCAUGCUGUCCAAUUUCAACUUGGCCCUCGCAGCUGCUCAGCACCCCUUCCACUUGUCUCGUACAUUCCCUGGCACUGGCCCCACAGAGGCUGUUCCACACCUUCCUCUUCUCAGAUUCCAGCUCCUGUUCCACUCCUUCAGACCAAUACACAUACUUUCAUCAGAUGCGUGGCAACUGAGUAACACUGUUUUAUAAAACUGUUUUAUGGGGAACUUAAAAUGUACAAAAGUAGACAGGAUAGUAUAAUGGAUCCCCAUUUACCACUCAGCUUCAACUGGCAUCAACUCUUGGGUACUCUUGUUUCAUCUGUUUCCUCCCUCCCAUAUUGUUUUGGAGCAAAUCCCAGAUGUGAUAUCAUUCCAUACCUAAAUAUUAGGUUGGUGUAAAAGUAAUUGUGGUUUAAUAUACAUACGUAUUGUGGUUUAAUAUACAUAUUAAUAUUUCAGUAUGUAUCUUUAAAAGGAUCUUUUUAUUUAAAAAAUGCCCG